RNAcentral lists this ribosomal RNA (253 nucleotides) under uncultured bacterium. RNAcentral describes it as "partial 16S ribosomal RNA". It matches the Rfam family "Bacterial small subunit ribosomal RNA", at positions 524 to 776 of the family's 1533-position model. The record is from RNAcentral.
UACGUAGGGCGCAAGCGUUGUCCGGAAUUAUUGGGCGUAAAGAGCUCGUAGGCGGCUUGUCACGUCGGGUGUGAAAGCCCGGGGCUUAACCCCGGGUCUGCAUUCGAUACGGGCUAGCUAGAGUGUGGUAGGGGAGAUCGGAAUUCCUGGUGUAGCGGUGAAAUGCGCAGAUAUCAGGAGGAACACCGAUGGCGAAGGCAGUUCUCUGGGCCGUAACUGACGCUGAGGAGCGAAAGCGUGGGGAGCGAACAGG